AAGCAAAACUAUUAACCUCACACAUACGUCGUCACGUGUGUUUGGGUGCUCGGUCGCCGGGGCUCCGCUGCAAGCGGUCGCGGGAUCGAGUCAACGCAUGGGACGUAUGGAGGCCUAACC
Molecule: small RNA, 120 nt
Filed under: Candidatus Kentrum eta
Lineage: Bacteria; Pseudomonadati; Pseudomonadota; Gammaproteobacteria
Description: Candidatus Kentron sp. H t44 RNA
Rfam family: t44 RNA
About the family: This family consists of a number of bacterial RNA genes of between 135 and 170 bases in length.
Source: RNAcentral